CAGGACCAGGCCCUGCAAGGAGACUUUGCCAGCAGCAUAUGGAAAGACCAAGAUGAAUGUGAUCUUCCACCUGUCUAUUUUGUUCAUCUUUCUGGACUUGUGCCAUGAACAUUGCAUCCAUAAUUCCUUUACCGCUGACAAUAAAGAUGGUGAAUGUACUGAUUCUUAUGGUGCAAGCAAGCAUCCAUCUGGGUCAGCGUGGAAUACAUCUGAGUGCAUGAGUUGCGAGUGUAAUAAUGGCACCAUGAGCUGCUGUUC
This is a long non-coding RNA of Lacerta agilis (Sand lizard), 258 nucleotides long. RefSeq lists it as uncharacterized. Lineage: Eukaryota; Metazoa; Chordata; Lepidosauria; Squamata; Lacertidae. The transcript has 3 exons. The record is from RefSeq and is a predicted model, not a curated record.